This 70-nucleotide transfer RNA is filed under the name Marmota monax (woodchuck). RNAcentral describes it as "tRNA.Undet". The record is from RNAcentral. Lineage: Eukaryota; Metazoa; Chordata; Mammalia; Rodentia; Sciuridae.
AGGGCUAUAGCUCAAUUGGUAGAGUGCCUGCCUCACAGCAGGGCCCUGGGCUCAAUCCCCAGCACCACAA